Molecule: long non-coding RNA, 622 nt
Organism: Pieris rapae (cabbage white)
Lineage: Eukaryota; Metazoa; Arthropoda; Insecta; Lepidoptera; Pieridae
Exons: 2
Source: RefSeq, a predicted model, not a curated record
UGAUAACAGUAAGCAGCAAACAAAACAUAGUAAAUUAACAAUCAAAAUAUAAAGCUUAUAACAAAAACUAGGUUGCUUUUAGUCAAUGUUUACUGCUUUAUUUGAAGUUGGCCCCAGCAAGGUUAGCUAGGAUGUUAAGUAAUUUGAUUUUAGUUGUGACUCCUUCAAGGUAAAUAUAACACAGACUGUAGUUUCUAUAAAAGUCAUUAUUAUUGCAAUAUUAAAGUUAAAUUCAUGGCUCAAAAUAUUCAGGGUGAGAAAUGACUGACAACUAACGACUAAACAAUGUUUGUAUUAAGAAAAACUGAUCUGGGCACUGUAAUAAGGGUGAAGUAGUGUUUUUUACAAUUUGACAGAUACAUAAGCAUAUUCAGCCAGUAGUGGUCCUUUAGCGCCUACAAACAAACCAAUUUCCUAAUGCGAAGUUGCGCCAGAACGUAGCUACUUUAGCAGAUGUAUUAAAUAAAAUGAUAUGGGCCAGCUACAAAAGAGCUAAGCGCUUUCAAAGCCCUCUUAGCAUAGCAGAAAGUGCCAUACAAGCGACCACCACCAUUUAGCGGCUUGGAAGUUGACUUACCACACUUAUACAACCUAGUGCAGCACGUGGGUGGCCUGAAGAAAA